AACGUCGGGUGCAAGCGUUGUCCGGAUUUAUUGGGUUUAAAGGGUGCGUAGGUGGCUUUUUAAGUCAUGGGUGAAAGCCCGCAGCUCAACUGUGGAAUUGCCUGUGAUACUGAGGAGAUUGAGUGCGGUUGAGGCAGCUGGAAUUGGUGGUGUAGCGGUGAAAUGCAUAGAUACCACCAGGAACACCGAUUGCGAAGGCAGGUUGCUAAGCCGUAACUGACACUGAGGCACGAAAGCGUGGGGAGCAAACAGG
Molecule: ribosomal RNA, 253 nt
Filed under: uncultured bacterium
Lineage: Bacteria
Description: partial 16S ribosomal RNA
Rfam family: Bacterial small subunit ribosomal RNA
Source: RNAcentral